Molecule: unclassified non-coding RNA, 637 nt
Filed under: Hevea brasiliensis (rubber tree)
Lineage: Eukaryota; Viridiplantae; Streptophyta; Magnoliopsida; Malpighiales; Euphorbiaceae
Source: RNAcentral
UAUAGUUGCAGAUGGAUAAGGAUAGAGGAAGAAAAAAGGGAGAGGCUUAGUCCGAACCUUGGCUAAGUAUUAGGUACGUUAUGAAUAUUAAAAAAUAAUAUUUUUUAUCACGUUAUCACAUACUUCAGCGCCUCCAAAUCUUUAAUUUUAAUUGGAUGAUAAUAAAAAUUAAAAUUUUAAAUUAAAUCAAAAUUAAUAAAAAAAAUUUAACUAUAAUUAUAGAAGCGCAUAAAAUUUUAAAAUUUUUUAAAACAUUUGAUCUAUUUGAAAUUAUGGAGAGAAAGUUUAAAUUUUGAAUUCUUAAAUAUUGAAUCUUAAUCAAAUAAGUCUCUGGAUAAACUUGCAAGUACAAAAAAAAAUAUUAAUUUUUUUAAAAAAAUUGAAAUUAAAAUAAAAAAAAAAGGUUAACCAUUUUGACUAAUUAAGCUUGAAAAUUUGGCACUCAUUUCGUCUUUGAUAAUGAUGUUUUAACCUUCUUUUAAUUUUAUAAUGUUUCCAAUUAAUUAUCCAUGCAAUAACAGAAAAUUUCUUCGAUUUUCAUGCUUUUACACCAAUCCUGUUACUCAAGGCAUAAUCUAUGAUUAAUAAAAAAUUAAGGAUAUUAAUUAGUGAUUACCUGAGAGAAGAAAACAUAAAG